GAUGAACGCUGGCGGCGUGCUUAACACAUGCAAGUCGAACGAGGUCCAUGGAGCUUGCUCCGGAAGACCUAGUGGCGAACGGGUGCGUAACACGUGAGAAACCUGCCCCGGACUCUGGGAUAACAGUUGGAAACGACUGCUAAUACCGGAUACCACCGCACCGCCUGGUGUGGUGAUGAAAGGUCCGCCGGUCCGGGAGGUCUCGCGGCCUAUCAGCUAGUUGGAGAGGUAACGGCUCACCAAGGCAUCGACGGGUAGCUGGUCUGAGAGGAUGAUCAGCCACACUGGGACUGAGACACGGCCCAGACUCCUACGGGAGGCAGCAGUGGGGAAUCUUGCACAAUGGGCGCAAGCCUGAUGCAGCAACGCCGCGUGCGGGAAGAC
Molecule: ribosomal RNA, 384 nt
Filed under: uncultured bacterium
Lineage: Bacteria
Description: bacterial SSU rRNA
Rfam family: Bacterial small subunit ribosomal RNA
Source: RNAcentral